UGCAUUAGGAUAAAGCAUAUUCAUAAUAUCAUCGUCUAUUCUAUCACCUACUGCUACAUCAUUUAGAAAAUCAACAUCGCUAAAUUGAAAACAUGGGUGAUUACUAUCAAGUAUUCCAAAAUUUUCAUCAGUAUUUCUAGGUUGGCUACUAGUUUCAACUUGUUUAUCUUUUAUAGGUCGGGGAGCCGGGGGAGGGGUAGGAUUUUGGCGACUACUUUCACCGGAUUUAGAUUUACN
Molecule: long non-coding RNA, 237 nt
Filed under: Nicotiana benthamiana
Lineage: Eukaryota; Viridiplantae; Streptophyta; Magnoliopsida; Solanales; Solanaceae
Description: long non-coding RNA (NBEN_LNC035242)
Source: RNAcentral